Molecule: unclassified non-coding RNA, 292 nt
Filed under: plant metagenome
Description: partial contains small subunit ribosomal RNA, internal transcribed spacer 1, and 5.8S ribosomal RNA
Source: RNAcentral
UUUCCGUAGGUGAACCUGCGGAAGGAUCAUUAUUGAAUAAACCUGAUGUGGUUGUAGCUGGCCCUUUCGUGAGCAUGUCCACACCCGUCGUCUUUAUCUUUCCACCUGUGCACCUUUUGUAGACCUGGAUGUAACACUUUCCGAGGCAACUCGGUCGGGAGGAAUGCUGUCAGCUUUCCUUGAAUGUCCAGGCCUAUGUUUUCAUAUAACCCAUAGAAUGUAACAGAAUGUAUUAUUGGGCCUUGUGCCUACAAACUAUAUACAACUUUCAGCAACGGAUCUCUUGGCUCUC